Corvus hawaiiensis (hawaiian crow) is the source of this 503-nucleotide long non-coding RNA. RefSeq lists it as uncharacterized. The transcript has 5 exons. The record is from RefSeq and is a predicted model, not a curated record. NCBI's taxonomy places the organism in Eukaryota, Metazoa, Chordata, Aves, Passeriformes, Corvidae.
GUCUUAAUUUUUAGGAAGUAAAGCCAGGUAUCACCAAUCAAUGUCAAAUGAGUGAGGUGGUCCACUUUUUUAUGCUGAAUCGCCUUGCCACCGGCUGAUGGACCCGGCUCGCCGCCAUCGUGAGCCUGUUGGAAGUAUCACGGGACUCUGUGACGGAGCCUUGACCUUUUCCAUUUGAAGGUAUGCCCUGUGACGGCGGCGUCAGACUGGGAGUGCGGCCGGAGCAUGUGGCCCGAGGGCCCUGGCCAUUUUAGGAGAUGCCAACUAAGAGACAACAGCCCGGUGACGGCAGGAACUUCCCAGAUGGCGAGGCGGCCUUCUUUCACACCUGACCUGGAUUCGCAUUCCCGGACCUCCGAGAGAUAAGUGGAGGGCUACGCCUCACAGAGGGGAUGAGAGCGAUGUGCCGGACGCAGAUCGAUUCUAUCUGUGGUGGAGCGCUCCAUACUAGGUGAGGGGGUUCGCACAGGAAGGUGAGUUGCCGUUUGUGUUUGCAGGGCAAG